CUUUUCUCAUGCGUUGAAGCCAAGAGGAGGAAGAAGGGAUGUCGCCAAGGUCUUCUUUCCCUUGCACCUUGCUUGCGGUUGAACCAAGGGAGGAGAGGGGAGGGUGGCGGCAGCAAGAGGAGGGCUUCAAGUGCAUUAGGGCGCUGGCCCCUUGCCUCCUCUUAUAUAGCCAUCUAGGGCUCCUACAAUCUAGGAGCCCUAGAGUUAAUUCCAUAAGAAGGGGGCGCCGGCCCCUCUCUU
Molecule: long non-coding RNA, 240 nt
Filed under: Phoenix dactylifera (date palm)
Lineage: Eukaryota; Viridiplantae; Streptophyta; Magnoliopsida; Arecales; Arecaceae
Description: long non-coding RNA (PDAC_LNC017113)
Source: RNAcentral